GAUGAACGUUGGCGGCGUGCCUAAUACAUGCAAGUCGAGCGAAUGGAUUAAGAGCUUGCUCUUAUGAAGUUAGCGGCGGACGGGUGAGUAACACGUGGGUAACCUGCCCAUAAGACUGGGAUAACUCCGGGAAACCAGGGCUAAUACCGGAUAACAUUUUGAACCGCAUGGUUCGAAAUUGAAAGGCGGCUUCGGCUGUCACUUAUGGAUGGACCCGCGUCGCAUUAGCUAGUUGGUGAGGUAACGGCUCACCAAGGCAACGAUGCGUAGCCGACCUGAGAGGGUGAUCGGCCACACUGGGACUGAGACACGGCCCAGACUCCUACGGGAGGCAGCAGUAGGGAAUCUUCCGCAAUGGACGAAAGUCUGACGGAGCAACGCCGCGUGAGUGAUGAAGGCUUUCGGGUCGUAAAACUCUGUUGUUAGGGAAGAACAAGUGCUAGUUGAAUAAGCUGGCACCUUGACGGUACCUAACCAGAAAGCCACGUCUAACUACGUGCCAGCCGCCGCAGUAA
This 515-nucleotide ribosomal RNA is filed under the name uncultured bacterium. RNAcentral describes it as "partial 16S ribosomal RNA". It matches the Rfam family "Bacterial small subunit ribosomal RNA", at positions 28 to 523 of the family's 1533-position model. The record is from RNAcentral.